RNAcentral lists this ribosomal RNA (463 nucleotides) under Pseudomonas marginalis. RNAcentral describes it as "bacterial SSU rRNA". It matches the Rfam family "Bacterial small subunit ribosomal RNA", at positions 9 to 475 of the family's 1533-position model. Lineage: Bacteria; Pseudomonadati; Pseudomonadota; Gammaproteobacteria; Pseudomonadales; Pseudomonadaceae. The record is from RNAcentral.
GAGUUUGAUCCAUGGCUCAGAUUGAACGCUGGCGGCAGGCCUAACACAUGCAAGUCGAGCGGUAGAGAGAAGCUUGCUUCUCUUGAGAGCGGCGGACGGGUGAGUAAUGCCUAGGAAUCUGCCUGGUAGUGGGGGAUAACGUUCGGAAACGGACGCUAAUACCGCAUACGUCCUACGGGAGAAAGCAGGGGACCUUCGGGCCUUGCGCUAUCAGAUGAGCCUAGGUCGGAUUAGCUAGUUGGUGGGGUAAUGGCUCACCAAGGCGACGAUCCGUAACUGGUCUGAGAGGAUGAUCAGUCACACUGGAACUGAGACACGGUCCAGACUCCUACGGGAGGCAGCAGUGGGGAAUAUUGGACAAUGGGCGAAAGCCUGAUCCAGCCAUGCCGCGUGUGUGAAGAAGGUCUUCGGAUUGUAAAGCACUUUAAGUUGGGAGGAAGGGCCAUUACCUAAUACGUGAUGG